GCUGUGAAGUUCUGUCUUCAGCUCUCAGUUCUCCAGUCUGACAGAACUGGACCUGAGUCAGAACCGGCUGCAGGAUUCAGGAGUAAAGUUGCUGUCUGCUGGACUGGAGAGUCCACACUGUCACCUGGAGACUCUCAGGCUGAGUUUGUGUGAUCUGUCAGAGAAGCUGUGAAGUUUUCGGCUCUGUCCUCACGUCUGUGAACUGGACGUGAGUAACAACGAUCUGCAGGAUUCAGGAGUGAAGCUGCUGUCUGCUGGACUGGAGAGUCCACACUGUCACCUGGAGACUCUCAGGCUGUCAGGCUGUCUGAUCACACAUGAAGGCUGUGCUUCUCUGGCCUCAGCUCUGACCUCCAACACCUCCCAUCUGAGAGAGCUGGACCUGAGCUACAACCAUCCAGGAGACUCAGUCAAGCUGCUGGAUCCACACCGGACUCUGGACUCUCUCAGGGUGGAUCCUGGUGGAGUCCGAUGGCUGAGACCAGGUCUGAGGAAGUAUUUCUGUGAACUCUCUCUGGAUCCAAACUCAGCGAA
Long non-coding RNA from Thalassophryne amazonica, 534 nucleotides. RefSeq lists it as uncharacterized. Lineage: Eukaryota; Metazoa; Chordata; Actinopteri; Batrachoidiformes; Batrachoididae. The record is from RefSeq and is a predicted model, not a curated record. The transcript has 5 exons.